CCUACGGGAGGCAGCAGUAGGGAAUUUUCGUCAAUGGGCGCAAGCCUGAACGAGCAAUGCCGCGUGAACGAGGAAGGUCUUCGGAUCGUAAAGUUCUGUUGAAGGGGAAAAAGAGCGGAGAGAGGAAAUGGUCUCCGAUUGAUAUUACCCUUCGAGGAAGUCACGGCUAACUACGUGCCAGCAGCCGCGGUAAU
This 194-nucleotide ribosomal RNA is filed under the name uncultured bacterium. Its description in RNAcentral is "partial 16S ribosomal RNA". It matches the Rfam family "Bacterial small subunit ribosomal RNA", at positions 338 to 524 of the family's 1533-position model. The record is from RNAcentral.